Nannospalax galili (Upper Galilee mountains blind mole rat) is the source of this 487-nucleotide long non-coding RNA. RefSeq lists it as uncharacterized. NCBI's taxonomy places the organism in Eukaryota, Metazoa, Chordata, Mammalia, Rodentia, Spalacidae. The transcript is spliced from 3 exons. The record is from RefSeq and is a predicted model, not a curated record.
CAGGCGGGUAGAGCAAACAAGUAAGCAGCGUUCCUUCAUGGUUUGUGUUUCACUUCCUUCUUCUAGGUUCCUGCCCUGAGGUCCCUCAAUGAUGGACUGUGAGCUAAAAGAAUUUGAACCAAAGCUUGCAGAGGUCUGCCUUAUGGCCAGGGACAGGCAUGUGAAGACUCUUGCCCAGCUACUCAGUGACCAUUGCCGCUGGGACCUACGGAUGGACAUGCACUGAGGAUAAAACCCAGAGUCUCGAGUGUGCUAGGAAAGUGUUCUUUGUUGAGCUACACCCCAAGUCUCAGUCUCUUCCAUUGAUUGAUGAUUGAUUGAGAUAGGAUUUUUUCUGUGUUAUCUCAGACUGGCCUGGAACUCACCAUGUAGCCCAGUCUAGCCUCAAACUCAUGGCAGUCCUCUUGCCUCCAUCACCUAAGCACUAAGAUUAUAGGAAGCACAAGAGACCCCGGACAGCCAAAACACCCCUGAGAACUAAGAGCAA